AGAGAAAUGUGUAAAGUUACUGCUAAUAAUUUUUGGUCAAUUUAGUUUGACUUUCUCUU
Molecule: transfer RNA, 59 nt
Filed under: Taenia martis (marten tapeworm)
Lineage: Eukaryota; Metazoa; Platyhelminthes; Cestoda; Cyclophyllidea; Taeniidae
Description: tRNA-Ser (AGN)
Source: RNAcentral